RNAcentral lists this microRNA precursor (168 nucleotides) under Oryza brachyantha (malo sina). Its description in RNAcentral is "MIR812 microRNA precursor family". It matches the Rfam family "MIR812 microRNA precursor family", at positions 28 to 193 of the family's 205-position model. The record is from Rfam by way of RNAcentral. Lineage: Eukaryota; Viridiplantae; Streptophyta; Magnoliopsida; Poales; Poaceae.
UCAAUUUUUGACUCUUCAUCUUAUUAAAAAAAAUUUUACGAUUGAUAUUUUUGUUUUUAUUAGAUGAUAAAUCAUGAAUAAUACUUUACGUGUGAUUAAUUUUUUUCUAAUUUCUUAAAUCUUUUUCAAAUAAAACGAAUGGUCAAACGUUCGACACGGAAACCGGAG